UACGUAGGUGGCAAGCGUUGUCCGGAUUUACUGGGCGUAAAGCGCGCGUAGGCGGCCCGCACAAGUCUGCGGUGAAAACCCCCGGCUUAACCGGGGGCCGGCCGUGGAAACUGUCGGGCUGGAGGCUGGGAGAGGGCAGCGGAAUUCCCGGUGUAGCGGUGAAAUGCGUAGAGAUCGGGAGGAACACCGGCGGCGAAGGCGGCUGCCUGGACCAGUCCUGACGCUGAGGCGCGAAAGCUGGGGGAGCAAACAGG
RNAcentral lists this ribosomal RNA (254 nucleotides) under uncultured bacterium. RNAcentral describes it as "partial 16S ribosomal RNA". It matches the Rfam family "Bacterial small subunit ribosomal RNA", at positions 524 to 776 of the family's 1533-position model. The record is from RNAcentral.